RNAcentral lists this transfer RNA (77 nucleotides) under Alcanivorax sp. Its description in RNAcentral is "tRNA-Arg". It matches the Rfam family "tRNA". From Rfam's summary of the family: Transfer RNA (tRNA) molecules are approximately 80 nucleotides in length. Their secondary structure includes four short double-helical elements and three loops (D, anti-codon, and T loops). The record is from RNAcentral. Lineage: Bacteria; Pseudomonadati; Pseudomonadota; Gammaproteobacteria; Oceanospirillales; Alcanivoracaceae.
GCACCGGUAGCUCAGUUGGAUAGAGCAUCUGGCUACGAACCAGGAGGUCGGGGGGUCGAAUCCUCCCCGGUGCGCCA